Vicia faba (fava bean) is the source of this 240-nucleotide non-coding RNA. Lineage: Eukaryota; Viridiplantae; Streptophyta; Magnoliopsida; Fabales; Fabaceae. The record is from the annotation of a GenBank genome assembly.
AUGUAUUUUUACCGCGAUUUUCCAAAGCUCUUUGUGGUCGGUGAUGGCGUUGAUCAUCUCAAAACAUCUCACCAUCUAGAUAGUCUUGGAAAACAGUGGAUGUCGAUUAAGAAAGACAAUUUUGUGCUCAAGAUUUCAAGAGGCAAUGAAUUGUUGGGAGAGAGAAAACGAAACAAUGAGAAAGUAGAAGGAGAAGAUUGGUAUAGAAGACUUGUAGAAGCAGGAAGACAUGUUGGAUGA